UACGGAGGGGGCAAGCGUUGUUCGGAAUCAUUGGGCGUAAAGGGCGCGUAGGCGGCCUGUCAAGUCGGACGUGAAAUCCCUCGGCUCAACCGAGGAACCGCGCUCGAUACUGGCGGGCUAGAGUCCGGGAGGGGAUGGUGGAAUUCCCAGUGUAGCGGUGAAAUGCGUAGAUAUUGGGAAGAACACCGGUGGCGAAGGCGGCCAUCUGGACCGGAACUGACGCUGAGGCGCGAAAGCUAGGGGAGCGAAU
Molecule: ribosomal RNA, 250 nt
Filed under: uncultured bacterium
Lineage: Bacteria
Description: partial 16S ribosomal RNA
Rfam family: Bacterial small subunit ribosomal RNA
Source: RNAcentral